AUUUUACCAAUUAAGAAGAAUAUUAUAAUAAUGGGUGUCUUAUAUUUUAAAUAAAUAUUUAAAUUCCGUGUAGUAAAUUUAUUAUUUGUAUUAUUUAUAUAAUAGGUGUAUUAUAUUUAAAUUUUAAAUUUGUUGUUUUAUAUUUAGAUACAUAUUUAUAGAUUAAUAUAUUUAAAUAAUAUUUUAAAAUUUAUUGAACUGUAAUGUUACAGUUGUAUGUACCAAAUAAAUAUAGUAAGAUUAUUUUAGUUGAAUUAAUAAAUAAAUAUUUAUUUUUCUUUGUAAAUAUUAUGAACAAUUUAAUUAACUAAAAUGUUUGAAUAUUUAUUUUUAUAUUUUUAGUAGGUAAAUGAAAAGUAUAAAUGGAUAUAACUUAAUAUUUAAUAUUUGUUUAAUGAAAAGUAUUUUAUAUUGUAUAGUAUUAUUAUAGUGUAUAGUUUUUUAAAAAUAUAGUUAAAUAAAGUAUGAAUUAAUAUCAAAAUUUUAAUAAAAAUUAAAAAAUUAAAAUAGGGCAAGUCCUACUCUCCUUUACAAAGAGAACAUUAUAUGUAAUUGUAUGUUUGAUUGGGGCAAUACUAUAUUUAUUUAUAUAGCAUAAGAACUAUAUUCUUUGAAAUUAUAAAAGGAGCAGGUUAACAAGCAUGUGUUUCAUCGUCUCGUUGUAAAGCAGAUUUGUAUAUUUAAUUUUUAUAAUUAAUAAUAAUUAAUAUAAGUACGCAAGGAUUGAUUAUUGAAAAAAGAAAGAAGAAUAUAAUUUA
RNAcentral lists this ribosomal RNA (758 nucleotides) under Trypanosoma brucei. RNAcentral's name for it is "mt-LSU rRNA from Trypanosoma brucei (PDB 7AOI, chain AA)". The stretch from base 452 to 750 matches the Rfam family "Trypanosomatid mitochondrial large subunit ribosomal RNA", at positions 183 to 561 of the family's 561-position model. The record is from RNAcentral. Lineage: Eukaryota; Euglenozoa; Kinetoplastea; Trypanosomatida; Trypanosomatidae.